CGAGUGCCCCAAGCGUUAUCCGGAAUCAUUGGGCGUAAAGGGUGUGUAGGUGGCACUUCUAGUCUUCUGUCAAAAUCCAGGGCUCAACCCCGGACUUGCAGAGGAAACGGCAGUGCUCGAGGGUGCGAGGGGUGAAUGGAACUCAUGGAGUAGGGGUGAAAUCCGUUGAUAUCAUGGGGAACACCAAAAGCGAAGGCAAUUCACUGGCGCACAUCUGACACUGAAACACGAAAGCGUGGGUAGCGAACGGGAUUAGAUACCCCGGUAGUCCACGCCCUAAACGAUGUCAACUAGCCUUGGGGGGAAUCGACCCCCUCCGAGGCGUAGCAAACGCGUUAAGUUGACCGCCUGGGUAGUACGGCCGCAAGGCUA
This 372-nucleotide ribosomal RNA is filed under the name uncultured organism. Its description in RNAcentral is "bacterial SSU rRNA". It matches the Rfam family "Bacterial small subunit ribosomal RNA", at positions 526 to 896 of the family's 1533-position model. The record is from RNAcentral.